CAUUCUGCACGCCAUUGUUCUGCAAUGCGCCCUGCCCCCAACACUGCCAGUGCUUGCAAACUUAGAGGAUUUAAAUUCAUCACUAGUGUUUUGAAAUCCCAGGAUGUGUUCCUGAGACAGUCUUCGUUGUUUUAUUGUCCUGGGCAUUCUGCGUCCUUUCAGUCUGGAGAUUUUUAGCUUCCUUUGCUUCUGAGUCUCUAUUUGCAGUGCCCCGAUGCUAGAAACCUGAGAUCCCAUGGCUUCUCCAGAAUGGAGGCUUGGGCAUUGUCAGCACCCUCCUUCCAAGAGUUGAAAGUUCCUCUCUUCUGGAAGACAAACUGAUGUGAGGAUGAGGAGGAGUCAGAAAUAAACUCAUUCAACUAAUACUUGAGUAGCUACUGUUGCCUACAGUAUGUUCAAGGUUUUGCUAGUCAUCCAUAUGAUCACUAUUGACAGCUUGGGAGACUCACACAGGCUAGUGAAUUUCAGGAAUUAACAGAAACUGAACAGCUUCUAUAAUCCUGCAGGAAGUAACCUCUGGAUGGCACAAUGGAGUCUCACUCUGUUGCCCAGGCUGGAGUGCAAUGGCACAAUCUCAGCUCACCACAAGCUCCGCCUCCUGCGUUCAAGUGAUUCUCCUGCCUUAGCCUUCUGAGUAGCUGGUAUUACAGGUGCCUGCUACCAUGGCCAGCUAAGUUUUGUAUUUUUAGUAGAGACAGGGUUUCACCAUGUUGGCCAGGCUGUUCUCAAACUCCUGACCUCAAGUGAUCUGCCCGCCUAAGCCUCCCAAAGUGCUGGGAUUACAAGCAUGAGCCGCCGCACCCGGCCUCUGCUAAGUUUACAACCUGCAAAUUCUAUCCAAAAUAUAUACAUAUUUUCUUGUAUUUUUCAUUUAAUGCACCAAAAUAAAAAAAAAAUUGUUUUUCA
This 906-nucleotide long non-coding RNA is filed under the name Homo sapiens (human). RNAcentral describes it as "uncharacterized LOC101930028, transcript variant 1 (LOC101930028)". The record is from RNAcentral. Lineage: Eukaryota; Metazoa; Chordata; Mammalia; Primates; Hominidae.